RNAcentral lists this ribosomal RNA (497 nucleotides) under uncultured bacterium. Its description in RNAcentral is "partial 16S ribosomal RNA". It matches the Rfam family "Bacterial small subunit ribosomal RNA", at positions 28 to 507 of the family's 1533-position model. The record is from RNAcentral.
GAUGAACGCUGGCGGCGUGCCUAAUACAUGCCAGUCGAGCGAACAGACGAGGAGCUUGCUCCUCUGACGUUAGCGGCGGACGGGUGAGUAACACGUGGAUAACCUACCUAUAAGACUGGGAUAACUUCGGGAAACCGGAGCUAAUACCGGAUAAUAUAUUGAACCGCAUGGUUCAAUAGUGAAAGACGGUUUUGCUGUCACUUAUAGAUGGAUCCGCGCCGCAUUAGCUAGUUGGUAAGGUAACGGCUUACCAAGGCAACGAUGCGUAGCCGACCUGAGAGGGUGAUCGGCCACACUGGAACUGAAACACGGUCCAGACUCCUACGGGAGGCAGCAGUAGGGAAUCUUCCGCAAUGGGGGGAAGCUUGGCGGAGGAACGCCGCGUGAGUUGUGAAGGUCUUCGGAUCGGAAAACUCUGUUAUUAGGGAAGAACAAAUGUGUAAGUAACUAUGCACGGCUUGACGGUACCUAAUCAGAAAGCCACGGCUAACUACGUG